This 1258-nucleotide long non-coding RNA is filed under the name Canis lupus familiaris (dog). Its description in RNAcentral is "lncRNA (ENSCAFG00845017675.1)". The record is from RNAcentral. Lineage: Eukaryota; Metazoa; Chordata; Mammalia; Carnivora; Canidae.
CACACACCAACAACUAAAAUGUAUUAUAGCAUGAGGAAAUGUGGGAAUGUCCUGACACCAUGUGCAAAAGCACCAAGUCACCAAGGCUGAUCUCACCCAGUACCCACGUUCCUGUGCUAAAAGGUUCUCCCUGGUGGGUAGCCAGCAUGUUGCCAAGCCACAGCUCCUCAGACAUGACGCCCACCUAAGCCUCAGGGUUGUUCAGUCCUCAGCCAGUCCCCAUAUGAACACUUCCUUCCGAAAGCCUGUAUAUCAAGAGAGAAGGCAGUGGGGUAUCAGAAAAGCUUACUGCACUUAGACUUAAGUGAGACUAAAUGGAAACAGCUCAAAAUAUUCCAUGUCCUGCCCCCAGACCCAGGGACUAAAUUGAUGGUUCCUUCAGAAGCCACAUUAAACCUUUCAUGUGCUGAUCAUAAAACUCCAGAGAACCCAUCAACCAGCCGGCAACAAAAUGAUGAGAGAUCUUUAUUUAGAGACUUGGCCACCUCCUCUUUUGUGAAAGAGAAGAAAGGCAUUGCCAAGCUUGCUAGCUCAGAGCAGUCCACAUUUUACUUCUGUGGAGCCGAAAACACAGGACAAGUUCUUCAUAAAAUAUUUGAGGUAUGCUAAAAAGAAAAGUCCAGAGACUUUUCUCCUUCACACUUGCCUUAUUAGGAAAUAUUUUUCUUUUUUUUUUUAAACAUUUUAUUUAUUUAUUCAUGAGAGAGAGAGAGAGAGAGAGAAUGAGAGAGGAAGAGACACAGGCAGAGGGAGAAGCAGGCUCCAUGCAGGGAGUCCGACAUGGGACUCGACCCUGGGUCUCCAGGAUCAAGCCCUGGGCCAAAGGCAGGCACUAAACCGCUGAGCCACCCAGGGAUCCCCAGGAAAUAUUUUUCAUAAAUAGUAGCAGUACAAUAAAAUACUUCGCAAUCAUUAGAGAGGUAGCUCUACAGAUACUGAUGUGGAAAAAUGUGCAAGCUAUAUAGCUAAAUGGGGUGAAAUGAGAGUUGCAAAAUAGAAUGUACUGAAGUAUCCCAUUUUUAUAUAAACUUAGUUUAUGUUUAGAUAAUAAAAAUUGGGGGGAAAUGCACCAAAUCUUGAAAGAGGUAAUCACUGAAAGAUGAGAUUACAUGACAUUCCUACUUGUCAUGUUUCCUAUUUUUAUGAUUGACUGUUACUUACCUUUUUCUUAAAACCAGAAAAAUAACAAUAAAAAUAGCCAAUCAAGUCUUCCUCCCACUGUCUACUUUCCCCUAGCUCUUUAGGAUAUAGUAAUCAG